UAACAGGAUUCCCCUAGUGACUGCGAGUGAAGCGGGAAAAGCUCAAAUUUAAAAUCUGAUGGCUCCCUUGGUCAUCCGAGUUGUAAUUUAGAGAAGCGCUUUCCGCGCUGGGCCGUGCACAAGUCUCCUGGAAUGGAGCGUCAUAGAGGGUGAGAAUCCCGUCUUUGGCACGGAUGCACCAGGGCUUAUGUGAUGCGCUCUCGAAGAGUCGAGUUGUUUGGGAAUGCAGCUCAAAAUGGGUGGUGAACUCCAUCUAAAGCUAAAUAUUGGCGAGAGACCGAUAGCGAACAAGUACCGUGAGGGAAAGAUGAAAAGCACUUUGGAAAGAGAGUGAAACAGUACGUGAAAUUGUUGAAAGGGAAACGCUUAAAGUCAGUCGCGUCGACCGAGACUCAGCCUUGCCUCGGCUUGGUGUACUUCUCGGCUUGACGGGUCAGCAUCAAUUUUGCCCCUCGGAUAAUGGCAAGGGAAAGGUGGCACCUUUAUGGGUGUGUUAUAGUCUCUUGUCGCAUGCGAGGGUCGGGAUUGAGGAACUCAGCACGCGCCUCGGUGUCGGGGCCUUUUUGGCUCACGCUACGUGCUUAGGAUGUUGGCGUAAUGGCUUUAAACGACCCGU
This 616-nucleotide ribosomal RNA is filed under the name uncultured Russula. RNAcentral's name for it is "eukaryotic LSU rRNA". It matches the Rfam family "Eukaryotic large subunit ribosomal RNA", at positions 66 to 652 of the family's 3401-position model. Lineage: Eukaryota; Fungi; Basidiomycota; Agaricomycetes; Russulales; Russulaceae. The record is from RNAcentral.